UAACACAUGCAAGUCGAGCGCAGUCCUUCGGGACCGAGCGGCGGACGGGUUAGUAACGCGUGGGAACAUACCCUUUUCUACGGAAUAGCCUCGGGAAACUGAGAGUAAUACCGUAUAAGCCCUUCGGGGGAAAGAUUUAUCGGGAAAGGAUUGGCCCGCGUUAGAUUAGAUAGUUGGUGGGGUAAUGGCCUACCAAGUCUACGAUCUAUAGCUGGUUUUAGAGGAUGAUCAGCAACACUGGGACUGAGACACGGCCCAGACUCCUACGGGAGGCAGCAGUGGGGAAUCUUAGACAAUGGGCGCAAGCCUGAUCUAGCCAUGCCGCGUGUGUGAUGAAGGUCUUAGGAUCGUAAAGCACUUUCGCCAGGGAUGAUAAUGACAGUACCUGGUAAAGAAACCCCGGCUAACUCCGUGCCAGCAGCCGCGGUAAUACGGAGGGGGUUAGCGUUGUUCGGAAUUACUGGGCGUAAAGCGUACGUAGGCGGAUCAGAAAGUAGGGGGUGAAAUCCCAGGGCUCAACCCUGGAACUGCCUCCUAAACUCCUGGUCUUGAGUUCGAGAGAGGUGAGUGGAAUUCCAAGUGUAGAGGUGAAAUUCGUAGAUAUUUGGAGGAACACCAGUGGCGAAGGCGGCUCACUGGCUCGAUACUGACGCUGAGGUACGAAAGUGUGGGGAGCAAACAGGAUUAGAUACCCUGGUAGUCCACACCGUAAACGAUGAAUGCCAGUCGUCGGGCAGUAUACUGUUCGGUGACACACCUAACGGAUUAAGCAUCCG
This 776-nucleotide ribosomal RNA is filed under the name uncultured Sulfitobacter sp. Its description in RNAcentral is "bacterial SSU rRNA". It matches the Rfam family "Bacterial small subunit ribosomal RNA", at positions 49 to 871 of the family's 1533-position model. Lineage: Bacteria; Pseudomonadati; Pseudomonadota; Alphaproteobacteria; Rhodobacterales; Roseobacteraceae. The record is from RNAcentral.